RNAcentral lists this long non-coding RNA (328 nucleotides) under Gossypium barbadense (sea-island cotton). RNAcentral describes it as "long non-coding RNA (GBAR_LNC002135)". Lineage: Eukaryota; Viridiplantae; Streptophyta; Magnoliopsida; Malvales; Malvaceae. The record is from RNAcentral.
GGCCACUACAUAUUAGGGAGGGGGAAUUUGACAUGCAAGUCCCCUUUUUCUUCCACAUGCACUAAUAGGUCCUCAUGCAUUGACCUAUCACAUUUUAAAAUUUUCUCAUAUAAGUCCUAUUGACUAAAUUCACAUGCAAUCGACUAAAUCGAAGCUUGAAAUUUUCACACAUUCAUGAUUACAUAUUCUAGACAAUAAACAUCACAUUCAAACCUUUCAGUGACUCGGUUUAGCGGUCCCGAAACCACUUCCCGACUAGGGUCAAUUUUGGGCUGUCACAACUCUCCCCCACUUAAGAAAUUUUCGUCCCCGAAAAUCUUACCGGUAA